GAUGAACGCUGGCGGCGUGCCUAAUACAUGCAAGUCGAGCGAACAGACGAGGAGCUUGCUCCUCUGACGUUAGCGGCGGACGGGUGAGUAACACGUGGAUAACCUACCUAUAAGACUGGGAUAACUUCGGGAAACCGGAGCUAAUACCGGAUAAUAUAUUGAACCGCAUGGUUCAAUAGUGAAAGACGGUUUUGCUGUCACUUAUAGAUAGAUCCGCGCCGCAUUAGCUAGUUGGUAAGGUAACGGCUUACCAAGGCGACGAUGCGUAGCCGACCUGAGAGGGUGAUCGGCCACACUGGAACUGAGACACGGUCCAGACUCCUACGGGAGGCAGCAGUAGGGAAUCUUCCGCAAAGGGCGAAAGCUUGACGGAGCAACGCCGCGUGAGUGAUGAAGGUCUUCGGAUCGUAAAACUCUGUUAUUAGGGAAGAACAAAUGUGUAAGUAACUAUGCACGUCUUGACGGUACCUAAUCAGAAAGCCACGGCUAACUACGUG
This 497-nucleotide ribosomal RNA is filed under the name uncultured bacterium. Its description in RNAcentral is "partial 16S ribosomal RNA". It matches the Rfam family "Bacterial small subunit ribosomal RNA", at positions 28 to 507 of the family's 1533-position model. The record is from RNAcentral.